AUUUGUAAAAAGUGAGACAAAAUAUUUUGUGUUGUGCUUGGUGCGAUAGCCAAAGAAAAUAACUUUUAGCGACAAGCAUACAGAGAAAGAAACUUAGAGCACUUGGAGAACGAUGUCAGACAAAAGAGGAUUCAUGUUUUUCUAUUCUUUCUUGUUUUUAUUUUGUAUUUUAGACUUUUAUUCUUUUUGUAAUUUUUAAGAGUAACUUUUAUACAGUGUUGUGUUAUCAUUAGUUUUCUUCAUUUAAUUUUUAAUAAUUUAUAGUCUUUUUUAA
This 274-nucleotide long non-coding RNA is filed under the name Lathyrus oleraceus (garden pea). Its description in RNAcentral is "Pisum sativum (pea) long non-coding RNA (PSAT_LNC019766)". The record is from RNAcentral. Lineage: Eukaryota; Viridiplantae; Streptophyta; Magnoliopsida; Fabales; Fabaceae.